UUCUUCUCGAUAAAGUGAAGCGAGCAGAAAUGUAACGAGAUUACCCACCCUCUCCAUCUGCCUUUGUCUAAAUAAAUUCAAAGUUUGCAAAAUGUAAUGAAUUUUCAGCUUGUAAUUUGCUGUCUUUAGUGUGUGCGGCAGUCAGAAGACCAAAGACACCCCCUUUAAAGUUCAUCUGUACCAGCCCCAGGCCCGGGACCGCCAUUAAACACCGGGGGGUUGCAGAGAUCAGUGUGAGGGUUCCAAGUCAUGCCCCUGUCGGCGUGCGUGGGAAGCCCUUCCAACAGCCUGCCUGGAGCUGGCAUGGCCCAGGGUGGUAGACAGGCACAACGGUCUGGAUUUGGGAGUCAGUGCGCAAGAGGAAGACGAAUCCCUGGAAUCCUCCUGUCUCACUCACCCUCCACUUACCUCUGUCUUCAUUUCUUCCCUGUCACCAGGUCUCUCUCCCACUUCUCCAAAUGCUGCUGCUUGAUAGAACGCACUUAUUUCUCAAUGCUUGCUUUGGGUUUUAGAAGACAUGGGGACCUCCCUCCUCCUGUUGUCCCGCGUUUGGUGAGUUCACCCCGCAGUAGUGACAGGACUGCAGCAUGAGAUCUUCUGGGUUUGCCCAACAGGCACUGUCCCUCCACAGUUACUGUCAGUUCCUCUUUCCUUCCCGUAACCGCUGUAGACCAGGGUCCUGUAGACAGGCACUGAGGACUCAAUGGUAAGGAAGUACAUUCAGUCCUCCGUGAACCAGGAAUACAUGUUGAAUAGAAGUCACCAAAUAAAUGAUUGUUUCUAUUUUAAUGAUCA
This 795-nucleotide long non-coding RNA is filed under the name Rattus norvegicus (Norway rat). RNAcentral's name for it is "long non-coding RNA NONRATT014526". The record is from RNAcentral. Lineage: Eukaryota; Metazoa; Chordata; Mammalia; Rodentia; Muridae.